Molecule: unclassified non-coding RNA, 21 nt
Filed under: Mus musculus (house mouse)
Lineage: Eukaryota; Metazoa; Chordata; Mammalia; Rodentia; Muridae
Description: oocyte_clustered_small_RNA27
Source: RNAcentral
UAGCAAAUGUGACUCUGUUGG